Molecule: ribosomal RNA, 2743 nt
Filed under: Triticum aestivum (bread wheat)
Lineage: Eukaryota; Viridiplantae; Streptophyta; Magnoliopsida; Poales; Poaceae
Description: partial small subunit ribosomal RNA
Source: RNAcentral
GUGAAAAGUAGUGGUUAAUGGAAAGCUUGACGGAGUCUAGAAGUCCAGGUGGAGGUCAAGCUAAUAAUGAAGAUAAGAGGCUUGAGAAUUUGAGAUGAGAUGGAUGCGAGCGUGUGGAUGCCAGGCUGCUGUAAAUGUGCUUUUAAACCAUGGGGAACUGGCUCAGCCGUCUGAGCAUCAUCCAACCCAAUCAGCCUUCACAGCUCUCCCGGCGAAACUAAGGAGGGACGUACGGGAGAGGUGACAGGUGUUGCCUCAUGCGUUCUCGCAAGCAACUGGCCAUGCUAUUGCUGUUGGCACUGUUGCUGCUCUGUAAUGACAGAGUUGGCAACGUCAAAGGCUUAACGAUCCACGAGAGUAGCAUCGUCGAUCUGCAUGCGCUGCUCGAUUUCAAGCAGGGCAUCACCGACGAUCCACGAGGAGCCUUGAGCAGCUGGACCAACAACACCCACUUCUGUCGAUGGCGUGGUGUGAACUGCACCACAACACGUCCGUUUCGCGUCUCGCGGCUUGUCCUCACCGGCCUGGAUUUAGCAGGACAAAUCACCUCCUCUCUUGGAAACAUGACUUUCCUUCAAUCACUCGACCUUUUUUUUUUGGAAGGUUCAAUCACUCGACCUUGAGUGGAAUAACUUCGUCGGCCCCAUACCUAUCCUUGGCCGUCUCCAACAGCUGCACACACUUCGGAACGAGGUGACGACAAUUGCAACCGACGAUGCCUUCGACAAGGAGACGGCACCUAAGGUGCCGCCGUCAUCCGCCAUGAUCGAGGUCAACAUGGUUUUCACAGGCAGGCACUCCGAGCCAGCAGCAGGACGGAUCGGCACUGAACUACGCUGUGACGGCGCAUGUAGGGAACCAGCGACCCUCGCCGACCCCUCAACACGCCGCUGGUUGGCCCACAAAGUUCCUUUAUAGCUCGUCCUACAUGGAACCUCUUAUCUUCAGCCCUUCAACAUUGCUUUGAGACCCGUACUUUUCAACUAACUUGCAACAAGCAAAUUUCUCUUUUUUGUUUCUCUCAAAUGAAAUAACAUAUGGACUUCAAACUUUUCAGAUCAAACAAACUUUACAACUUCAAUGUGUGAAAAAACUUUCAGAUUUUUUGGACCAACAUAAAUAUACAAAAUGUGAAUUUUUUUGAUUAAAAAACUAAAUUUUAGCAUUUUAAAUGCAUGAACAAAUCUGAAAGUUUUUUCCCACGUAGUAAUUAGAAUGUUUUGUUGUCCUGCAAAGUGUGAAGUUUAUACGUUGUUUCGUUUAAGAGAAACAAAAAUGACAAAUGUGCCUGCAUGGAUCUUGAUGCCAAAAUGAAUGGCUAAGAUAAGGGGUACCGUGUAGCUCCAGCUACACAAAACCACACUCCUGGUUGGCCAUAGGCAGAACCGACGACUGAUCUUGGUGGGACCAGAUCCACGGCUGCCACUGCGCCCACCAUCGCGGGAGAACUUGGGCUCCCACGGGCCAUGGAGGCUAGUGUGGCCGCCGCACGACCAGGGGCGCCAUCCUUGCCCCUGCGUGCAACUCCCCCCGGGCCACGCCCCAGCCACACCAGGAGGUCGGCGCCGCAUCCAGACUCCUCGGCUCCUUCGGCUCUGGGCCUGCCGCCACCGCGGUCUACGCUGUUAGCCAAUAAACCGUGACGUGUGUGCGCUGUACGCGUGCGUGUGUGCGUGCACUGGAUGUGCCUGGUGCGAUUCUGGCCGCGUGCUGGCCGUGGUGUGUGCGCGUGUGUGUGCUCACGUGUGGUGCGCGGGAUGUGCGUGUGUGUGUAGCUGUUAGAGACCAGGUCCAGGGCUCGGCGUGUCGCGUGCGUUGCGGGCGCGCGCGGAGGACGCGGCCAGAGCGAGCUGGGUCGUGGGCGCGAGCAGGCAGGGGCGUGGAGAACGUGUCCAUCGUGUGCCUGGGUAUAAAACCCGUGUGUUGGUCAUUGUAACAGUGGGGAGUCGAGUUCGUGCUCGCCGGAAAUACACAGGAGCCGUCCGUAAGGCAAGGUGUUUGAGCGCCUGGAAAUCUUGUGUGUUGCCUCCCCCUGGCUUAUUUCUUGUCUCCGGUGAUCGUCGUGCUCCGGUGGUUCGGUUUCUGCAACAACAUACGCCGGCGGCAGCGGCGGAUGGGAAGGUAGCAGUGCGAGGAAGCCUUUGACGGCGCUAGGGUUCGCCCCUGGCCUCACCCCGAGGAGACGACGCAAGGGAGUCACGCGAGGGGUCUGGAUGUUUGUAUAGAAGAGCUCUUGGUAUUUCAUGAUCCUUUUUGGAUCCUUUGUCAGAUGUCUCCUUUCGGGACCGUUGUAGCCAUUUCAUGAUGUGCAAAGAAACCACAAGACAAAAGAAGAAUGGAGCUUGGUGUGGAGAGGACAGAGGAUCAAACAGGUGUUUGAGGAGAUUAUUGCCAAAAAAACUACGGGUGGAAUCCCUCGAGGAAAAGGAUUGGAGUGGGAUAAGCUUCUGAUGGUGUUUUCUGUUCUGAUCCAAUUUGUGAGGUGGAGGUCCUUGUAAUCUUUGUGGUUGUUCAGGUUAGGUGUUGUGUUCCCCCAUCCUUUAGUCUAUAAAAUGGUAAACGAGUAACGCUGAGCGUUUGUUGGGUUGUCGCUUCAGUUUCUUCUCCUUCGAGUCUCUACCUUGUAAUAGGUUAAGUAAGGUUAGAUUGCUGGCCUGUGCUUUAAUUUCUACACCUGCAGCUGGAUGUGUUCUCAGGCUGUGGCCUUUUGUUUCUGAACUUUGUAAAACCUUGAUGCUGGCGG